RNAcentral lists this ribosomal RNA (483 nucleotides) under uncultured bacterium. Its description in RNAcentral is "partial 16S ribosomal RNA". The record is from RNAcentral.
GUAGUUAGCCGUGGCUUCCUCCUUAGGUACCGUCAUUAUCGUCCCUAAAGACAGAGCUUUACAAUCCGAAGACCGUCAUCACUCACGCGGCGUUGCUGCAUCAGGGUUUCCCCCAUUGUGCAAUAUUCCCCACUGCUGCCUCCCGUAGGAGUCUGGGCCGUGUCUCAGUCCCAAUGUGGCCGAUCAGCCUCUCAGCUCGGCUACCCAUCGCAGGCUUGGUGGGCUGUUAUCUCACCAACUACCUAAUGGGACGCGAACCCCUCCCUCAGCGGAUUGCUCCUUUGACCUCAUCCCGAUGCCGGGUCGUGGUCUUAUGCGGUAUUAGCACUUGUUUCCAGGUGUUAUCCCCCUCUGAAGGUCAGGUUGUUCACGCGUUACUCACCCGUUCGCCACUAAAGUAUCAACCGAAAUCAAUACUUCCGUUCGACUUGCAUGUGUUAGGCACGCCGCCAGCGUUCGUCCUGAGCCAGAAUCGAACCCUGA